RNAcentral lists this ribosomal RNA (505 nucleotides) under uncultured bacterium. RNAcentral describes it as "partial 16S ribosomal RNA". It matches the Rfam family "Bacterial small subunit ribosomal RNA", at positions 28 to 507 of the family's 1533-position model. The record is from RNAcentral.
GACGAACGCUGGCGGCGUGCCUAAUACAUGCAAGUCGAACGCACAGUUUAUACCGUAGCUUGCUACACCAUAGACUGUGAGUUGCGAACGGGUGAGUAACGCGUAGGUAACCUGCCUAGUAGCGGGGGAUAACUAUUGGAAACGAUAGCUAAUACCGCAUAAUAUUAAUUAUUGCAUGAUAAUUAAUUGAAAGGUGCAAUUGCACCACUACCAGAUGGACCUGCGUUGUAUUAGCUAGUAGGUGAGGUAACGGCUCACCUAGGCGACGAUACAUAGCCGACCUGGGAGGGUGAUCUGCCACACUGGGACUGAGACACGGCCCAGACGCCUACGGGAGGCAGCAGUAGGGAAUCUUCGGCAAUGGACGAGAGUCUGACCGAGCAACGCCGCGUGAGUGAAGAAGGUUUUCGGAUCGUAAAGCUCUGUUGUAAGAGAAGAACGGGUGUGAGAGUGGAAAGCUCACACUGUGACGGUAUCUUACCAGAAAGGGACGGCUAACUACGUG